Molecule: unclassified non-coding RNA, 253 nt
Filed under: uncultured Rhodobacterales bacterium
Lineage: Bacteria; Pseudomonadati; Pseudomonadota; Alphaproteobacteria; Rhodobacterales
Description: contains 16S-23S intergenic spacer region
Rfam family: Bacterial small subunit ribosomal RNA
Source: RNAcentral
UACGGAGGGGGCUAGCGUUGUUCGGAAUUACUGGGCGUAAAGCGCACGUAGGCGGAUCAGUCAGUCAGAGGUGAAAUCCCAGGGCUCAACCCUGGAACUGCCUUUGAUACUGCUGGUCUAGAGAUCGAGAGAGGUGAGUGGAAUUCCGAGUGUAGAGGUGAAAUUCGUAGAUAUUCGGAGGAACACCAGUGGCGAAGGCGGCUCGCUGGCUCAUUUCUGACGCUGAGGUGCGAAAGCGUGGGGAGCAAACAGG